This 352-nucleotide ribosomal RNA is filed under the name uncultured bacterium. RNAcentral describes it as "bacterial SSU rRNA". It matches the Rfam family "Bacterial small subunit ribosomal RNA", at positions 29 to 410 of the family's 1533-position model. The record is from RNAcentral.
AACGAACGCUGGCGGCAGGCCUAACACAUGCAAGUCGAACGCUCCGCAAGGGGAGUGGCGCGCGGGUGAGUAACACGUGGGAACCUACCUUCUGGUACGGAACAACCAAGGGAAACUUUGGCUAAGACCGUAUACGACCUCCGGGUGAAAGAUUGAUCGCCGGAAGAGGGGCCCGCGUCCGAUUAGGUAGUUGGUGAGGUAACGGCUCACCAAGCCUUCGAUCGGUAGCUGGUCUGAGAGGAUGACCAGCCACACUGGGACUGAGACACGGCCCACGACUCCUACGGGAGGCAGCAGUGGGAAUAUUGGACAAUGGGCGCAAGCCUGAUCCAGCCAUGCCGCGUGAGUGAUG